GACGAACGCUGGCGGCGUGCUUAACACAUGCAAGUCGAACGGAAAGGCCCUGCUUGCAGGGUACUCGAGUGGCGAACGGGUGAGUAACACGUGGGUGAUCUGCCCUGCACUUCGGGAUAAGCCCGGGUAACUGGGUCUAAUACCGGAUAGGAGCCAUUCUUAGUGUGAUGGUUGGAAAGUUUUUUCGGUGUAGGAUGAGCUCGCGGCCUAUCAGCUUGUUGGUGGGGUAAUGGCCUACCAAGGCGGCGACGGGUAGCCGGCCUGAGAGGGUGGACGGCCACAUUGGGACUGAGAUACGGCCCAGACUCCUACGGGAGGCAGCAGUGGGGAAUAUUGCACAAUGGGCGCAAGCCUGAUGCAGCGACGCCGCGUGGGGGAUGACGGCCUUCGGGUUGUAAACUCCUUUCGCUAGGGACGAAGCUUUUGUGACGGUACCUAGAUAAGAAGCACCGGCUAACUACGUG
RNAcentral lists this ribosomal RNA (464 nucleotides) under uncultured bacterium. Its description in RNAcentral is "partial 16S ribosomal RNA". It matches the Rfam family "Bacterial small subunit ribosomal RNA", at positions 28 to 507 of the family's 1533-position model. The record is from RNAcentral.